UGGGGAAUAUUGCACAAUGGGCGCAAGCCUGAUGCAGCAACGCCGCGUGAGGGACGACGGCCUUCGGGUUGUAAACCUCUUUUGGCAGGGAAGAAGCGAAAGUGACGGUACCUGCAGAAAAGCACCGGCUAACUACGUGCCAGCAGCCGCGGUCAUACGUAGGGUGCAAGCAUUAUCCGGAGUGACUGGGCGUAAAGAGUUGCGUAGGCGGUUAGUAAAGCGAAUAGUGAAACCUGGUGGCUCAACCAUACAGACUAUUAUUCGAACUCACUAACUCGAGAGUGGUAGAGGUAACUGGAAUUUCUUGUGUAGGAGUGAAAUCCGUAGAUAUAAGAAGGAACACCAAUGGCGUAGGCAGGUUACUGGACCAUUUCUGACGCUAAGGCACGAAAGCGUGGGGAGCGAACC
Molecule: ribosomal RNA, 408 nt
Filed under: uncultured bacterium
Lineage: Bacteria
Description: bacterial SSU rRNA
Rfam family: Bacterial small subunit ribosomal RNA
Source: RNAcentral